GUCCCAGUAGCGCAGUGGAUAGCGAGUUGGACUUCUAAUCCAAUGGUCGUGCGUUCAAAUCCCACCAGGGAUG
Molecule: transfer RNA, 73 nt
Filed under: Trichonephila inaurata madagascariensis
Lineage: Eukaryota; Metazoa; Arthropoda; Arachnida; Araneae; Nephilidae
Rfam family: tRNA
About the family: Transfer RNA (tRNA) molecules are approximately 80 nucleotides in length.
Source: Rfam by way of RNAcentral